RNAcentral lists this long non-coding RNA (1732 nucleotides) under Cairina moschata (Muscovy duck). Its description in RNAcentral is "domestica (muscovy Duck (domestic type)) lncRNA (ENSCMMG00000010355.1)". The record is from RNAcentral. Lineage: Eukaryota; Metazoa; Chordata; Aves; Anseriformes; Anatidae.
AUGUACCACAAGGCUGUCUGAUGGCCUUGGCUGUAGCCUGGGCUGGGUCUGUGGCCACACUGUCUGGACCUGGCUGUGCCUGGCACAGGGCAGCAAUCCCACAAUCUGCUCCCACAGCGGCCACCCUGGCUGCCCCCUAACUAUGAGAAUCUUGCAACCUACGCUCAAUACAAACGUUAAGUCAGCUAAACAUGGUGGAUUGAGUAUGAAUAGUGAUAUUUCAUGAUUUCUUCAGAGAUUGAUCUGUGUUUCUCUCUGGUGACUAUCCUAGGCAUUUUGGGGCCCAUCCAGGUCUCACUGAAUGGCAGCACAGCCUUCUGGCGUGUCAGCCACUCCUCCCAGCUUUGUGUCAUCGGCGUACUUGCUGAGGGCAGACACUAUUCCCUCAUCAAGGUCGUCAAUGAAGAUGUUGAACAAGACCAGACCCAGCACCGACCCCUGGGGAACACCGCUAGUCACAGGUCUCCAGCCGGACUCUGCACCGCUGAUCACCACCCUCUGAGCUUGGCCAGUCAGCCAGUUCUCAACCCACCUUACUGUCCACUCCUCUAUCCCAAACUUUCUCAGCCUUGCCAAGAGGAUGUUGUGGGAGACAGUAUCAAAAGCCUUGCUAAAGUCAAGGUAGAUGACAUCCACUGCUCUCCCCCAUCUACCCAGCUGGUGAUGCCAUCAUAGAAGGCAACAAGGUUGGCCGAGCAUGACUUCCCCUUGGUGAAUCCAUGCUGACUACUCCUCAUAACCUUCUCUUCCAAUUGCUUGGAGAUGGCAUCCAGAACAAACUGUUCCAACACCUUUCCAGGGACAGAGGUGAGACUGACUGGCCUGUAGUUUCCUGGAUCCUCCUUCUUGCCCUUCUUGAAAACCGGAGUGACACUGGCUAUCCUCCAGUCUUUAGGCACUUCUCCUGUUCUCCAGGACCUUUCAAAGAUUUCAAAGAUGAUAGAGAGCGGUUUGGCAAUCACCUCUGCCAACUCCCUUAGCACAUGUGAAUGUGUCCCAUCAGGACCCAUGAAUUUGUGUGUGUUGAGCCCACUCAGAUGCUCCCGAACCGCUCUCUCAUCAAGCAGGGAAUAACCCUCCAUUUCUCAGAACCUUUCUCCUCCUUCCAGGAUUGAGGAGUCCCGGGGGAACUUGAAGCAAAGACUGAAGCAAAGAGAGCAUUCACUAUCUCCGCCUUCUCAGUUUCCUGUUACCAGGACACCCCCCUCAUUCAGUAAGGGACCGACAUUAUCCCUAGUCUUCCUGCAAUAUGGUGACUCAACUCACAUGCUUAAAGCACCUGUUCAGAAACAUGCUAGAUUAUCCAAAAUUAAACAAAAAUUAUUAAGCUGGAGUAAGAAGGCAGACUGAUGAUUCCAUUUAGCCCCCUAAAAUAAUUUUAUCGGUAGGUAUCAAUAUCCCUAAUUCACAUGGAUUCUGAACACUUCCUUCCUCCUCUCUGUAGUGUAAUAUUUUUCAAACUUUGUAUGAAAGAACUUCAGUGUGAAAGGACCCUGGGAAAUUGAGUAACUCACACUAGACUGGAAAAGUAAAAAUAGAAGAAAAGUCACAGCUUGAAGAUGGAUUUACAGUGGGCCAUCUCCUUGAAAUUUUCCCAAGGAAGGCACAGAUUUUGUCUCUCAGGUGUCUUAAAUAAAUAUGUAAAUAGCAUUCUUUAAAUAAAGCAGCUGAUUAUGAGCCACUAAAAACAUCAUUAAAAACAAACUCAAUGCCAAAACUUGCUUUUGUCUGC